CUUGCAAGUUUGAUGGCGACCGGCGCACGGGUGAGUAACACGUAUCCAACCUGCCGAUAACUCGGGGAUAGCCUUUCGAAAGAAAGAUUAAUAUCCGAUAGUAUAUUAAAACCGCAUGGUUUUACUAUUAAAGAAUUUCGGUUAUCGAUGGGGAUGCGUUCCAUUAGUUUGUUGGCGGGGUAACGGCCCACCAAGACUACGAUGGAUAGGGGUUCUGAGAGGAAGGUCCCCCACAUUGGAACUGAGACACGGUCCAA
Molecule: ribosomal RNA, 257 nt
Filed under: uncultured bacterium
Lineage: Bacteria
Description: partial 16S ribosomal RNA
Rfam family: Bacterial small subunit ribosomal RNA
Source: RNAcentral